RNAcentral lists this ribosomal RNA (288 nucleotides) under Clostridioides difficile. RNAcentral's name for it is "partial 23S ribosomal RNA". It matches the Rfam family "Bacterial large subunit ribosomal RNA", at positions 2528 to 2815 of the family's 2925-position model. The record is from RNAcentral. Lineage: Bacteria; Bacillati; Bacillota; Clostridia; Peptostreptococcales; Peptostreptococcaceae.
GAUGUCGGCUCAUCACAUCCUGGGGCUGUAGUAGGUCCCAAGGGUUGGGCUGUUCGCCCAUUAAAGUGGUACGCGAGCUGGGUUCAGAACGUCGUGAGACAGUUCGGUCCCUAUCCGUCGCAGGCGUAGGAAAUUUGAGAAGACCUGUCCUUAGUACGAGAGGACCGGGAUGGACGUAUCUCUGGUGUACCAGUUGUCCUGCCAAGGGCAUGGCUGGGUAGCUAUGUACGGAAUGGAUAAGCGCUGAAAGCAUCUAAGCGCGAAGCCAACUUCAAGAUAAGAUUUCCC